UAACACAUGCAAGUCGAGCGGUAACAUUUCUAGCUUGCUAGAAGAUGACGAGCGGCGGACGGGUGAGUAACGCGUAGAAUCUACUAGUAGUGGGGAUAGCCCAGAGAAUUUGGAUUAAUACCGCAUACGCCUACGGGGGAAAGCGGGGGAUCUUCGGACCUCGUGCUAUUAGAUGAGUCUGCGUCGGAUUAGCUUGUUGGUGAGGUAAUGGCUCACCAAGGCGACGAUCCGUAGCUGGUCUGAGAGGAUGACCAGCCACACUGGAACUGAGACACGGUCCAGACUCCUACGGGAGGCAGCAGUGGGGAAUAUUGCACAAUGGGCGCAAGCCUGAUGCAGCCAUGCCGCGUGUGUGAAGAAGGCCUUAGGGUUGUAAAGCACUUUCAGCAGUGAGGAAAGGGGUGGUCGUUAAUAGCGCCAUCCUGUGACGUUAACUGCAGAAGAAGGACCGGCUAACUCCGUG
This 463-nucleotide ribosomal RNA is filed under the name uncultured bacterium. Its description in RNAcentral is "bacterial SSU rRNA". It matches the Rfam family "Bacterial small subunit ribosomal RNA", at positions 49 to 507 of the family's 1533-position model. The record is from RNAcentral.